GCAGCUCAGAGCUCGCUCUGUCCCCUCCACCAGUCCCUGUGGGGCAACCCUGGGUUGUGACAUCUCUGAAAACAUGUUUUGGACUAACUGACAGGCCAGAGGAAGGCAGCGUGCCGGUGUCUCAAUCCUUCCACGAACUGCUUUUGAAGACGGAAGACGGCAGAGAGAGGGUGCGUAUCACCGUGGCUGUGGCUGGCGGUUGUCCCCCUCUGCCCCUCUUCCCCCUGCCCGCCGCCCUCUCGGCUUGUCUUUCCACCCUGUCCCCAUUCUUCAUUCCACCCCCUGGGGCUGGCCGGCCCCCUGCCCUCCUGUCUCCUCUGUACAACCAGCCCUCUAGGUCCCCCUGCUUACCAAACUCUCCUCCAAGAGGCCUCAACCAUGAGCAACUGCUCCCUCUUCGAAACUCUUAACGCCUCGCCAUCCUCCGAGCCCUGAUUCUCAGACCAGCAGAAUCGGUACCACCUGUGCACUGACUGCGCUAAAGCAUCUCAGCAUCUCGGGCUCCACUGGCUCCCUGCUCCAGGCUCUGAAGAUCCCACUUGCCGAAGGUCAACCAAGCCUGCAAGGUGCAGCUACUGAGUCCGUGUGCCCAGAGCCCAUGCUCUGCAACAAGAGAAGCCACCGCAAUGAGAAGCCCUUGCAUUGCAACUUGAGAGGAGCCCCUGCUUGCCACAACUAGAGAAAGCUCAUGUGCGGCAGUGAAGACCCAGAGCAACCAGAAAUAAAUGAAUAAAAACUCCAUAUCCGUGGUCCAGAGAAAGCACUCGCCUAAAGCAAACACGUCUGGAACACCACCGCAGUCUGAUCUGGAACACCAUCGCAGUCUGAAUGAAAGCCGUAAAGUCAGAGCGCCUUCGGGAGAGGAAGGAGGUGGCCCCCCAGCUCCAGUCUCCUUAACUGCACCCUGGGAAGUCUGCACACUGCCUUUCUUUCUCCCCUCCUGGUGGUCUAAUCUGGAGUCAGAUCCAGCCGCUGGCUCUCGCAGAUGGGGAAGGACUGCCAGCCAACAGGAAAACAACAGGUUUCUAUAAUUCAUCAUUCAGUCCCUUCUGAAAACCUAGAAUGAGAGUUUAGCAGCUCAGAGCCCCGGCCUCUCUCCAUUCUCUCCCCAAACACAUCAGCUUGUUUGUUCCCUUUCAUCCGGGCUCUUCCUGUCGCAUUCUGCCUGUUCAAUGGGGAAAGAGUGAAACCGGAUGGCUGGACCCAGUGCGGGGAAAUGACUUCAGAGCCACCUUUGUUUCCCUCAUUCCUUUGAGCACACUUGGCCCCCGCGUCUCUAUGAAAGGGCUUGUUUGAACCAUUUGGAACAUCUCGCGAGUGGGAGAUGCUAUGGCCAGAAUCGCUCACAUCUUUUCAGGCUGCCUGAGACUGGGUGAAACUGCCAAAUUUUUGCAACAAAACUAACCAUGACAUUGGACAUUGUGUUAUAAAUUAGCCACAGCCUUCCAAGCAAAUUGUCUCUUUUCAUUGUGUCAGUGUAAGCCUUUGAAACGUUUGGCUCCAGCUACUGACUUUGGAGAGACUCAGAGAAUAUUUUUGUUCGGCCCCAAACCAGCCCUUCAGACACUAAGCUGCAUGGGCUAAUAUAUGUAUCUUAGUUGACAGCUCUUCUUACCACACUUACUCAGAAGAUUCCUGUUGGUUAUAUUUCAUUUCUCUGCCUAAAAUUCGGUUAAUGGGCUUCUCAGUUUUGAUGUAGCAGGAACCAUCUCCAUUUGUCUUUGAAACAAAAAGAUGUACUUCUCUUUUCUUAGGCUUUUCACAAUGAUUAUUGGAAGUUUCUUUGAAGGAGGAGUUCUUUUCAGAACUCCAGUGAGAGUUAUUAAAAUGUGUUACUAUGUUGCUCUAGGUGACAUAUAGAAUUUCAGCAUUCAGUACUCACAGAAGCAAUGAAAAUGUCUAUUUCUGUUAAAUCACUCUGUGUUUUUUUUAAAAAAGAAAACAUCUAUGCAUCCACUUGAGCUCUGUCACCAACAGCCAGAUCAAGUGUUUGUUAUUAAAAGGAAA
Molecule: long non-coding RNA, 2007 nt
Organism: Bos taurus (domestic cattle)
Lineage: Eukaryota; Metazoa; Chordata; Mammalia; Artiodactyla; Bovidae
Source: Ensembl